GGUCGUGUGGCGCAAUGGUAGCGCGUUACUUUCCGGUCCAGAUUAUCUCUGGUUGGUAAAGGUUCUGGGUUCGAGUCCCAGCAUGAUCG
Chaetomium strumarium is the source of this 89-nucleotide non-coding RNA. NCBI's taxonomy places the organism in Eukaryota, Fungi, Ascomycota, Sordariomycetes, Sordariales, Chaetomiaceae. The record is from the annotation of a RefSeq genome assembly.